CUGAGACCUUCAGUCAGAUUUCAACUGAGGAAAAUAUACCAAUAUUGUUCAUUCAGGCAAUACUGAUGACAAACAAUUUAAAGGCUCUAAAUAUGGAAAAGCAUCUGGUCACAUGAACAACUCAGAGCA
Molecule: long non-coding RNA, 129 nt
Organism: Thalassophryne amazonica
Lineage: Eukaryota; Metazoa; Chordata; Actinopteri; Batrachoidiformes; Batrachoididae
Exons: 5
Source: RefSeq, a predicted model, not a curated record